RNAcentral lists this ribosomal RNA (531 nucleotides) under uncultured bacterium. RNAcentral's name for it is "partial 16S ribosomal RNA". The record is from RNAcentral.
GGAGUUAGCCGGUGCUUCUUCUGCGAGUAACGUCACAGAUGUAAGGUAUUAACUUACACCCUUUCCUCCUCGCUGAAAGUGCUUUACAACCCGAAGGCCUUCUUCACACACGCGGCAUGGCUGCAUCAGGGUUUCCCCCAUUGUGCAAUAUUCCCCACUGCUGCCUCCCGUAGGAGUCUGGGCCGUGUCUCAGUCCCAGUGUGGCUGAUCAUCCUCUCAGACCAGCUAGGGAUCGUCGCCUAGGUGAGCCUUUACCUCACCUACUAGCUAAUCCCACCUGGGCUUAUCCAUCAGCGCAAGGCCCGAAGGUCCCCUGCUUUCCCCCGUAGGGCGUAUGCGGUAUUAGCAGUCGUUUCCAACUGUUAUCCCCCACAAAUGGGCAAAUUCCCAGGCAUUACUCACCCGUCCGCCGCUCGUCAUCUUCAAAAGCAAGCUUUUGAAAUGUUACCGCUCGACUUGCAUGUGUUAGGCCUGCCGCCAGCGUUCAAUCUGAGCAGANANACACUACUCANAGAGGCGCGCGACGACGCG